This 231-nucleotide transfer RNA is filed under the name Marmota monax (woodchuck). RNAcentral's name for it is "tRNA.Ala". Lineage: Eukaryota; Metazoa; Chordata; Mammalia; Rodentia; Sciuridae. The record is from RNAcentral.
GGUUGUAGCUCAGUGGUAGAGCACUUGCCUUGCAUUCGUGAGGCCCUAGAUUCAGUCCUCAUCACCACAUAAAAAUAAAGACAUUAAAUAAAUAAGUAAAUGUCAAAGUUGUCAGUAAUAAAUUAUGAAAGGGGAAAACAAGCAUAAGAAUUUGCAUCUCUGGAUGUUUCUUAGUGGUAGAGAGCUUGCCUAGCAUGUGAGAGACCCUGGGUUUGAUCCUCAGUACUACCA